AGAUUAAGUUAUUAAGGGCGCACGGUGGAUGCCUUGGCACUAGAAGCCGAUGAAGGACGUUACUAACGACGAUAUGCUUUGGGGAGCUGUAAGUAAGCUUUGAUCCAGAGAUUUCCGAAUGGGGAAACCCAGCAUGAGUUAUGUCAUGUUAUCGAUAUGUGAAUACAUAGCAUAUCAGAAGGCACACCCGGAGAACUGAAACAUCUUAGUACCCGGAGGAAGAGAAAGAAAAUUCGAUUCCCUUAGUAGCGGCGAGCGAAACGGGAAGAGCCCAAACCAACAAGCUUGCUUGUUGGGGUUGUAGGACACUCUAUACGGAGUUACAAAGGACGACAUUAGACGAAUCAUCUGGAAAGAUGAAUCAAAGAAGGUAAUAAUCCUGUAGUCGAAAAUGUUGUCUCUCUUGAGUGGAUCCUGAGUACGACGGAGCACGUGAAAUUCCGUCGGAAUCUGGGAGGACCAUCUCCUAAGGCUAAAUACUCUCUAGUGACCGAUAGUGAACCAGUACCGUGAGGGAAAGGUGAAAAGCACCCCGGAAGGGGAGUGAAACAGAACCUGAAACCGUGUGCUUACAAGUAGUCAGAGCCCGUUAAUGGGUGAUGGCGUGCCUUUUGUAGAAUGAACCGGCGAGUUACGAUUUGAUGCAAGGUUAAGCAGUAAAUGUGGAGCCGUAGCGAAAGCGAGUCUGAAUAGGGCGUUUAGUAUUUGGUCGUAGACCCGAAACCAGGUGAUCUACCCUUGGUCAGGUUGAAGUUCAGGUAACACUGAAUGGAGGACCGAACCGACUUACGUUGAAAAGUGAGCGGAUGAACUGAGGGUAGCGGAGAAAUUCCAAUCGAACCUGGAGAUAGCUGGUUCUCUCCGAAAUAGCUUUAGGGCUAGCCUCAAGUGAUGAUUAUUGGAGGUAGAGCACUGUUUGGACGAGGGGCCCCUCUCGGGUUACCGAAUUCAGACAAACUCCGAAUGCCAAUUAAUUUAACUUGGGAGUCAGAACAUGGGUGAUAAGGUCCGUGUUCGAAAGGGAAACAGCCCAGACCACCAGCUAAGGUCCCAAAAUAUAUGUUAAGUGGAAAAGGAUGUGGCGUUGCCCAGACAACUAGGAUGUUGGCUUAGAAGCAGCCAUCAUUUAAAGAGUGCGUAAUAGCUCACUAGUCGAGUGACACUGCGCCGAAAAUGUACCGGGGCUAAACAUAUUACCGAAGCUGUGGAUUGUCCUUUGGACAAUGGUAGGAGAGCGUUCUAAGGGCGUUGAAGCAUGAUCGUAAGGACAUGUGGAGCGCUUAGAAGUGAGAAUGCCGGUGUGAGUAGCGAAAGACGGGUGAGAAUCCCGUCCACCGAUUGACUAAGGUUUCCAGAGGAAGGCUCGUCCGCUCUGGGUUAGUCGGGUCCUAAGCUGAGGCCGACAGGCGUAGGCGAUGGAUAACAGGUUGAUAUUCCUGUACCACCUAUAAUCGUUUUAAUCGAUGGGGGACGCAGUAGGAUAGGCGAAGCGUGCGAUUGGAUUGCACGUCUAAGCAGUAAGGCUGAGUAUUAGGCAAAUCCGGUACUCAUUAAGGCUGAGCUGUGAUGGGGAGAAGACAUUGUGUCUUCGAGUCGUUGAUUUCACACUGCCGAGAAAAGCCUCUAGAUAGAAAAUAGGUGCCCGUACCGCAAACCGACACAGGUAGUCAAGAUGAGAAUUCUAAGGUGAGCGAGCGAACUCUCGUUAAGGAACUCGGCAAAAUGACCCCGUAACUUCGGGAGAAGGGGUGCUCUUUAGGGUUAACGCCCAGAAGAGCCGCAGUGAAUAGGCCCAAGCGACUGUUUAUCAAAAACACAGGUCUCUGCUAAACCGUAAGGUGAUGUAUAGGGGCUGACGCCUGCCCGGUGCUGGAAGGUUAAGAGGAGUGGUUAGCUUCUGCGAAGCUACGAAUCGAAGCCCCAGUAAACGGCGGCCGUAACUAUAACGGUCCUAAGGUAGCGAAAUUCCUUGUCGGGUAAGUUCCGACCCGCACGAAAGGCGUAACGAUUUGGGCACUGUCUCAACGAGAGACUCGGUGAAAUCAUAGUACCUGUGAAGAUGCAGGUUACCCGCGACAGGACGGAAAGACCCCGUGGAGCUUUACUGUAGCCUGAUAUUGAAAUUCGGCACAGCUUGUACAGGAUAGGUAGGAGCCUUUGAAACGUGAGCGCUAGCUUACGUGGAGGCGCUGGUGGGAUACUACCCUAGCUGUGUUGGCUUUCUAACCCGCACCACUUAUCGUGGUGGGAGACAGUGUCAGGCGGGCAGUUUGACUGGGGCGGUCGCCUCCUAAAAGGUAACGGAGGCGCUCAAAGGUUCCCUCAGAAUGGUUGGAAAUCAUUCAUAGAGUGUAAAGGCAUAAGGGAGCUUGACUGCGAGACCUACAAGUCGAGCAGGGUCGAAAGACGGACUUAGUGAUCCGGUGGUUCCGCAUGGAAGGGCCAUCGCUCAACGGAUAAAAGCUACCCCGGGGAUAACAGGCUUAUCUCCCCCAAGAGUUCACAUCGACGGGGAGGUUUGGCACCUCGAUGUCGGCUCAUCGCAUCCUGGGGCUGUAGUCGGUCCCAAGGGUUGGGCUGUUCGCCCAUUAAAGCGGUACGCGAGCUGGGUUCAGAACGUCGUGAGACAGUUCGGUCCCUAUCCGUCGUGGGCGUAGGAAAUUUGAGAGGAGCUGUCCUUAGUACGAGAGGACCGGGAUGGACAUACCUCUGGUGUACCAGUUGUCGUGCCAACGGCAUAGCUGGGUAGCUAUGUGUGGACGGGAUAAGUGCUGAAAGCAUCUAAGCAUGAAGCCCCCCUCAAGAUGAGAUUUCCCAACUUCGGUUAUAAGAUCCCUCAAAGAUGAUGAGGUUAAUAGGUUCGAGGUGGAAGCAUGGUGACAUGUGGAGCUGACGAAUACUAAUCGAUCGAAGACUUAAUCAAAUU
Molecule: ribosomal RNA, 2926 nt
Filed under: Staphylococcus aureus
Lineage: Bacteria; Bacillati; Bacillota; Bacilli; Caryophanales; Staphylococcaceae
Description: 23S ribosomal RNA
Rfam family: Bacterial large subunit ribosomal RNA
Source: RNAcentral